GCAGGCCCUACCAAUUGCAAGUUCGAGCGGUAGCACAGAGAGCUUGCUCUCGGGUGACGAGCGGCGGACGGGUGAGUAAUGUCUGGGAAACUGCCUGAUGGAGGGGGAUAACUACUGGAAACGGUAGCUAAUACCGCAUAACGUCGCAAGACCAAAGUGGGGGACCUUCGGGCCUCAUGCCAUCAGAUGUGCCCAGAUGGGAUUAGCUAGUAGGUGGGGUAACGGCUCACCUAUGCGACGAUCCCUAGCUGGUCUGAGAGGAUGACCAGCCACACUGGAACUGAGACACGGUCCAGACUCCUACGGGAGGCAGCAGUGGGGAAUAUUGCACAAUGGGCGCAAGCCUGAUGAUGCAGCCAUGCCGCGUGUGUGAAGAAGGCCUUCGGGUUGUAAAGCACUUUCAGCGGGGAGGAAGGCGGUAAGGUUAAUAACCUUGUC
RNAcentral lists this ribosomal RNA (438 nucleotides) under Klebsiella pneumoniae. Its description in RNAcentral is "bacterial SSU rRNA". It matches the Rfam family "Bacterial small subunit ribosomal RNA", at positions 42 to 473 of the family's 1533-position model. The record is from RNAcentral. Lineage: Bacteria; Pseudomonadati; Pseudomonadota; Gammaproteobacteria; Enterobacterales; Enterobacteriaceae.